AUGCCUCCAGACGGCGACACAGAGCUGGCGGCGGACGAGCUGCAGAGCCUCAGCUUCGGCUCCUCCGAGCGCUCCCGCUCCGCAUCCACCGUCUCCACCGCCACGGCCUCCUGCUCCACCACCUCCUCCUCGAGGCCAAUCGCCGGCGUCCCCGCAUUGCGCUCCUCCAACCCCUCCGCUCUCGCCCCGCGCCUCGGCACGGUGCAGCUCUCCGACAUCCGCUUCGUGCGGCGGCUCGGGGCCGGGGACAUUGGCAGCGUCUACCUAGCUGAGGUGAAGGGCAAGGGCGGGGCGCUGGUGGUGGCCAAGGUGAUGGACCGGAAGGAGCUCCAGGGCCGCAACAAGGAGGGCCGCGUGCGCACGGAGCACGAGAACCUGACGGGGAAUGGGGAAAUCGGUCAAGGGCCUCACAGAGGUGCUUGA
RNAcentral lists this ribosomal RNA (423 nucleotides) under Triticum aestivum (bread wheat). Its description in RNAcentral is "partial small subunit ribosomal RNA". Lineage: Eukaryota; Viridiplantae; Streptophyta; Magnoliopsida; Poales; Poaceae. The record is from RNAcentral.